GUUCGCUGCUCGAGGCUGCGCUUCGAGGCGGGUCCCGAAGGCCAGGCUUGGUGGAGAGCUGGUUCUGUCAGCAGCUGGGCUUCUCCAUGUCUGACAGCUUCCCUUGGCUCACCCAAAGUCACUGCUCACUGAACCCAUGGAGGCCGAAGCCACAGAUUCAGAGGACUAAUGUCACUUCCCUCAAAUGUGGGUAAAUUGAAGAGAUAUUUGAGCAAAAUCCGUGGAGCUCAACUCUAAACAGGAUUCCUCUUAUGUCAUCCUGGUUGGGCUGGAACUUGCCAUCCUCCUGCCUUAGUGCUGGCGUUACUGGCAUAAGGAAAUCUGCCCAGCUUGGAAAUAAGGUCUUUGUGGAUAUAAUGGUUGAAAUAAGAUUAGCGAGCCAAGCCCUGAUCCAGUAAAGGAGUGGUGUCCCUGUGAGAAGAGGAAGUUUGCCAUUUAAAGACACCAAGAAGAUGCCAUCUAGAGGCCAAGGGCAGGGACCUGGCACUGACCUUCCCUCCAUAGCCCUCCACAGAAAUGAGUCCUAGCCACACACUGAUCCUGGGCCUGCAGCUUCCAGAACGGUUCAAGGCUCCGAGUUUGCUGUCCUUUGUUAUGGCAGCGCGCGCGCGCGCGCGCACACACACACACACACACACACACACACACACACACACACACACACACCCGGAAUGCCGAGCAGGAGUACAGUGAGAGGCUGCCAUCCUCAUGAGUGAAGAAGACCCCGGAAGGGCAGCAGAGCUUGGGCCUUCGCCUGAGGGCAGAGCAGGGACCAGAUGCCUGGGAGGAUGGAGAGAGGUGGGGUCGGAAGAGGCAGCAGCUUCUGGUAGGAGCCUCAGUCUCCCACUUCAAGAAGGACUUUCAGAAUGUAUUUUUGGGAAAAGGGAGAAGUUGCUCGAGAGCCAGUGGCAUGGCCCUGGUGAAUUGCUUGUGUUGAAUGAAGCACAGACUAAUGUAGCAAACAUUUGUAACCUUGUUAGUCAAUUAAAAUAUCUGCCCUACUAAUGAGAAGGAGAAAGGGGCUUCUGGAAUUUAGAACCCUAGUUCUAAAUUUUCUGUGUCACCAUCCACCCUCUUGACCAUCUUUCUCCCCAGUCAACGGAACCAACAAGCCAUCAUUUAAGCUGGCCUCAGGCCCUUCUGUGAGUUCUCUACAGAGAUCCCUCAUGGAGCUUUUCUUUACUUCGUUUUAAGGUCAGCUGUUUGGACCCCCCUUUUCCUUAUGUCCUUCUCCUGGGCCAGGCUUGCCCCAGGCUCCCAGUCCUCAGGCCUUUCUAGCUUGCUGGCACCAAUUGCCAAGGGCUAAGUUUCCAUUGCUCAUUGCAGCUCACUCCACACCCACCUCUUGCCUUAGCCUUAGGAAAUGCAGAGAGAUAGGGCUCCCCUGAAAUCUGCACACCCAACCAGGAAAGUGGGCAGUCUCUCAUUAGUCAGUGGAGAACAAAAUCACAAGGGCUUGGAAACUGCCAUUCAUGAGGACGUGUGGCUCUGGACCCAGCUUUGACCAACUUCCUCUCUUUUGUUGGUCUCUUAAGCUACUGAAGGGCUCUUUUUCUUUUUUCUAUUGUUCUUCGUAUUUAGUUAUUGGGAGUGGGCAGGCAUGUGUGCUAAAGUACAGCCGUGGAGACCAGAAGGCACCUAGUGGGAGUUGGUUCUCUCCUAUCAUGUGGCUUAAGGGGAUCCAAUAACUCAGGUUAUUGGGCUCAGUCACCUCCUUUAACCCACUGAGCCAUCUUUUCCAUUAUAUGAAGAGCAAUUUCUUAAGGAACAGUCCCUCACCAGUGACUUCCUUUAGCUGCAUAGUUACCUAUUUCCUUUUUCCUUUCUGCUAAAUCCUUUGUCUUCCCCAAACCCCUCAAGAAGGCCUGUCAACUCUACCCUGAUUUUGGCUUUUUUGGUGACAACAAUUGAUCAAACUCACAGUAUGUGGCUUGGAAAAAUAAAAAGAGUACCAGUUCAGCCCAGGCUCUUGGGCUGUUCCAUAGCCGUGGCCCUCCGAUACCUUUGUAUAUAAACUGGACAUUCCUUCGAGCAAAUGUCCUAAGAUAAGAGCACUGGGUGACCACUAAUAUUAUCAACUUGACAGGAUCUAGAGCCAUUGAAGAGAUCUCUAAGGGAGUCCUGAGGGAUUGCUUAGAUUGGGUUAGUUGAGGUGGAAGACUCAUCUUGAA
Onychomys torridus (southern grasshopper mouse) is the source of this 2171-nucleotide long non-coding RNA. RefSeq lists it as uncharacterized. Lineage: Eukaryota; Metazoa; Chordata; Mammalia; Rodentia; Cricetidae. The record is from RefSeq and is a predicted model, not a curated record. The transcript has 3 exons.